UACGUAGGUGGCAAGCGUUGUCCGGAUUUACUGGGCGUAAAGGGCGUGCAGGCGGUUUGUUAAGUGCAGGGUGAAAGCUCCCGGCUCAACUGGGAGAGGUCCUUGCAUACUGGCAGACUUGAGGGAGGCAGAGGAAAGUGGAAUUCCCGGUGUAGUGGUGAUAUGCGUAGAUAUCGGGAGGAACACCUGUGGCGAAGGCGGCUUUCCGGGCCUUACCUGACGCUGAGACGCGAAAGCGUGGGGAGCGAACCGG
RNAcentral lists this ribosomal RNA (253 nucleotides) under uncultured bacterium. RNAcentral's name for it is "partial 16S ribosomal RNA". It matches the Rfam family "Bacterial small subunit ribosomal RNA", at positions 524 to 776 of the family's 1533-position model. The record is from RNAcentral.